Molecule: ribosomal RNA, 570 nt
Filed under: Streptomyces albogriseolus
Lineage: Bacteria; Bacillati; Actinomycetota; Actinomycetes; Kitasatosporales; Streptomycetaceae
Description: bacterial SSU rRNA
Rfam family: Bacterial small subunit ribosomal RNA
Source: RNAcentral
GAUGAACCACUUCGGUGGGGAUUAGUGGCGAACGGGUGAGUAACACGUGGGCAAUCUGCCCUGCACUCUGGGACAAGCCCUGGAAACGGGGUCUAAUACCGGAUACUGACCCGCUUGGGCAUCCAAGCGGUUCGAAAGCUCCGGCGGUGCAGGAUGAGCCCGCGGCCUAUCAGCUUGUUGGUGAGGUAAUGGCUCACCAAGGCGACGACGGGUAGCCGGCCUGAGAGGGCGACCGGCCACACUGGGACUGAGACACGGCCCAGACUCCUACGGGAGGCAGCAGUGGGGAAUAUUGCACAAUGGGCGAAAGCCUGAUGCAGCGACGCCGCGUGAGGGAUGACGGCCUUCGGGUUGUAAACCUCUUUCAGCAGGGAAGAAGCGAAAGUGACGGUACCUGCAGAAGAAGCGCCGGCUAACUACGUGCCAGCAGCCGCGGUAAUACGUAGGGCGCGAGCGUUGUCCGGAAUUAUUGGGCGUAAAGAGCUCGUAGGCGGCUUGUCACGUCGGUUGUGAAAGCCCGGGGCUUAACCCCGGGUCUGCAGUCGAUACGGGCAGGCUAGAGUUCGGUAG